This 525-nucleotide ribosomal RNA is filed under the name Scinax obtriangulatus (Sao Paulo snouted treefrog). Its description in RNAcentral is "partial 16S ribosomal RNA". It matches the Rfam family "Bacterial large subunit ribosomal RNA", at positions 1922 to 2596 of the family's 2925-position model. The record is from RNAcentral. Lineage: Eukaryota; Metazoa; Chordata; Amphibia; Anura; Hylidae.
GUUCAACGGCCGCGGUAUCCUAACCGUGCGAAGGUAGCGUAAUCACUUGUUCUUUAAAUAAGGACUAGUAUGAAUGGCAUCACGAGGGUUAUACUGUCUCCUUUUUCUAAUCAGUAAAACUAUUCUCCCCGUGAAGAAACGGGGAUGUUUAUAUAAGACGAGAAGACCCUAUGGAGCUUUAAAUUUUUAUUACAAUUGCUCUUUUUUUUAAUUUGUCCCGACUUCUUACUUUUAAUUGAACAUACUGAUAGUAAAUUUUAGGUUGGGGUGACCGCGGAGCAUAAAAGAACCUCCGCAUAGAACAGACUCUAAGCCUUGAGCCAAGAACCACAAUUUUAAGCACUAAUAUAUUAACAUUCAUUGACCCAAUAUUUUUGAUCAACGAACCAAGUUACCCUAGGGAUAACAGCGCAAUCUACUUUGAGAGCUCCUAUCGACAAGUAGGUUUACGACCUCGAUGUUGGAUCAGGGUAUCCCAGUGGUGCAGCCGCUACUAAAGGUUCGUUUGUUCAACGAUUAAAACCC